GACGAACGCUGGCGGCGUGCUUAACACAUGCAAGUCGAACGGAAAGGCCCCUUUGGGGGUACUCGAGUGGCGAACGGGUGAGUAACACGUGAGUAACCUGCCCUUGACUUCGGGAUAACUUCAGGAAACUGGGGCUAAUACCGGAUAGGAAUCCUAGCUGCAUGGUGGGGGUUGGAAAGCUUCGGCGGUUUUGGAUGGACUCGCGGCUUAUCAGCUUGUUGGUGGGGUAGUGGCUUACCAAGGCUUUGACGGGUAGCCGGCCUGAGAGGGCGACCGGCCACAUUGGGACUGAGAUACGGCCCAGACUCCUACGGGAGGCAGCAGUGGGGAAUAUUGCACAAUGGGCGGAAGCCUGAUGCAGCAACGCCGCGUGCGGGAUGACGGCCUUCGGGUUGUAGACCGCUUUCAGCAGGGGCGAAGCUUGUGGUGACGGUACCUGCAGAAGAAGCACCGGCUAACUACGUG
Molecule: ribosomal RNA, 465 nt
Filed under: uncultured bacterium
Lineage: Bacteria
Description: partial 16S ribosomal RNA
Rfam family: Bacterial small subunit ribosomal RNA
Source: RNAcentral